CUGAGUACUACACUCUCUGCCCUUUGUGAACUAUUAUACCUGUUGCUUCGGCGGCGCCCGCAAGGGUGCCCGCCGGUCUCAUCAGAAUCUCUGUUUUCGAACCCGACGAUACUUCUGAGUGUUCUUAGCGAACUGUCA
This 138-nucleotide unclassified non-coding RNA is filed under the name soil metagenome. Its description in RNAcentral is "partial internal transcribed spacer 1". The record is from RNAcentral.